This 484-nucleotide ribosomal RNA is filed under the name uncultured bacterium. Its description in RNAcentral is "partial 16S ribosomal RNA". It matches the Rfam family "Bacterial small subunit ribosomal RNA", at positions 30 to 507 of the family's 1533-position model. The record is from RNAcentral.
AUUGAACGCUAGCGGGAUGCUUUACACAUGCAAGUCGAACGGCAGCGCGGACUUCGGUCUGGCGGCGAGUGGCGAACGGGUGAGUAAUGUAUCGGAACGUGCCCAGUAGCGGGGGAUAACUACGCGAAAGCGUAGCUAAUACCGCAUACGCCCUACGGGGGAAAGCAGGGGAUCGUAAGACCUUGCACUAUUGGAGCGGCCGAUAUCGGAUUAGCUAGUUGGUGAGGUAACGGCUCACCAAGGCGACGAUCCGUAGCUGGUUUGAGAGGACGACCAGCCACACUGGGACUGAGACACGGCCCAGACUCCUACGGGAGGCAGCAGUGGGGAAUUUUGGACAUUGGGGGCAACCCUGAUCCAGCCAUCCCGCGUGUUGGAUGAAGGCCUUCGGGUUGUAAAGCACUUUUGGCAGGAAAGAAACGUCGCGGGCUAAUACCCCGUGGAACUGACGGUACCUGCAGAAUAAGCACCGGCUAACUACGUG